Molecule: long non-coding RNA, 398 nt
Filed under: Hordeum vulgare
Lineage: Eukaryota; Viridiplantae; Streptophyta; Magnoliopsida; Poales; Poaceae
Description: long non-coding RNA (HVUL_LNC004559)
Source: RNAcentral
GCUUAAUGUGUCCUGUGAACUAUGGCCCCUUGUUUUAUUUAGAUACCACGGAUGCUAGGGUUACACAAAGUUGGUUACAUCAAGAAAGGAAUAUGUUGAUUACUAUGUCGCCUUGGAUUGUACGCAAGUCUUUGAAAGAGUCCAUCUCGAUUCUAGUACCACCAAUGAUGACCGAACAAUCUAGGUGUCUGGCCCACGAGAAUAGAUAAGGGGCCCAAGGACCCCUUAGCCCUGGACUCCCUCACUAGCCUCCAAUGCGAAAACCUUUAACCUCCGCCUGCUUCAUAUACAUAGAGUCUUUGGCUUGCGAGGUGAGUUCCCCUCUUCCUUUAAUCGAUGAUAGAUUAGGUGCCGAUGAUCUUCCUUCCUUCACACACACACACACACACACACACACA